UAAAUAAUAUGAAAAGUAGGAAUUGAUUCCUUGUGAAACAUUUUCUAGACACCGUACAAAUAUAAUAUUGCUUUUAGAAAUAUAUGUACUCAUUAUUUAAAAUGUUAAUAUAUUAGAGAAAUAACUUCUGAUAUUGAUUUUUAUUUUGUCUUAUUAUUUAUAAACAAAUAUAUUUUAUACUUUGAAAAAAAUAUUAUAAAUUAUUAUUAAAAUGGUUUUAUUUAUUUAUUGGAUAUUCUUGUUUUAUCCAAAAUAGUAUAUAUGUAAUGUUUUAGAUUAUUCCCAGUAAAAUUAUAUGCUAACAAAAGUUCCCUUGUGGAAGUCAAUCCCGUCGUUCUUUUGAAACUUCAGUCGUUGAUAAUGUGUGUUUUGAAUGUUUACUUCUAAUCAGAUCGUGUUGGUGAAUAAAAUUCUUUAAGUCACUGAUUCAUCAACUUGGACCUCUCAAGAAAUAGAAAGUAAAGACAAUGAGUUGUUUAAGGUGAAUGUCUUACAACCUUUGCGAAAGCCUAGGUGGCCUUUUGGUCCAGCAUCGAUAGCCGUAUAGAUGAACGUUCUCAUGUCAUCAUUUUCUUUUAAUUGUUGCAGUCUGUAUAUCAAAGUAAGAAUGAGUACAGGAGGUGGUAGUCAAAAAUAACCGGGCUUCAGAAGAAUUAUAUCAGUGAUGUGGUUUAUUGAACUCGCAUUUACAGUUUUUUCACAGCCCCAUAAUGGUUGCCAUUGUUAAGAUUCUAUAGUGGUAGAAGGAGAAUCAAAACCAAAGAUUUUUUGGGUUAA
Molecule: long non-coding RNA, 777 nt
Organism: Raphanus sativus (radish)
Lineage: Eukaryota; Viridiplantae; Streptophyta; Magnoliopsida; Brassicales; Brassicaceae
Exons: 2
Source: RefSeq, a predicted model, not a curated record